AGCGAACGCUGGCGGCAGGCUUAACACAUGCAAGUCGAACGGGCGUAGCAAUACGUCAGUGGCAGACGGGUGAGUAACGCGUGGGAACAUACCUCUUGGUUCGGAACAACACAGGGAAACUUGUGCUAAUACCGGAUAAGCCCUUACGGGGAAAGAUUUAUCGCCGAGAGAUUGGCCCGCGUCUGAUUAGCUAGUUGGUGGGGUAAAGGCCUACCAAGGCGACGAUCAGUAGCUGGCUGAGAGGAUGAUCAGCCACAUUGGGACUGAGACACGGCCCAAACUCCUACGGAGGCAGCAGUGGGAAUAUUGGACAAUGGGCGCAAGCCUGAUCCAGCCAAUGCCGCGUGAGUGAUGAAGGCCCUAGGGUUGUAAAGCUC
Molecule: ribosomal RNA, 377 nt
Filed under: uncultured bacterium
Lineage: Bacteria
Description: bacterial SSU rRNA
Rfam family: Bacterial small subunit ribosomal RNA
Source: RNAcentral